GCUGGGCGCUGUGGCACAUGCCUGUAAUCUCAGUAGCUCCAGAGGCUGAGGCAGGAGGAUUAUGGGUUCAAAGCCAGCCUCAGCAACUUAGCAAGGCACUUAGCAACUCAGCAAGACCCUGUCUCUA
Molecule: small RNA, 127 nt
Filed under: Marmota monax (woodchuck)
Lineage: Eukaryota; Metazoa; Chordata; Mammalia; Rodentia; Sciuridae
Source: RNAcentral